RNAcentral lists this small RNA (27 nucleotides) under Bombyx mori (domestic silkworm). RNAcentral's name for it is "ovarian small RNA-9726". The record is from RNAcentral. Lineage: Eukaryota; Metazoa; Arthropoda; Insecta; Lepidoptera; Bombycidae.
UUGCGUAUUCGUGCGAAUGUGAGUGAC